GAGCUAUAAUUUAUUAAGCCGCUAACUUAAUUACUAACGUAUAAAAAUGUUAAUAGCUCU
This 60-nucleotide transfer RNA is filed under the name Thyropygus sp. DVL-2001. Its description in RNAcentral is "tRNA-Ser". The record is from RNAcentral. Lineage: Eukaryota; Metazoa; Arthropoda; Diplopoda; Spirostreptida; Harpagophoridae.